GGUUAAGCGACUAAGCGUACACGGUGGAUGCCCUGGCAGUCAGAGGCGAUGAAGGGCGUGCUAAUCUGCGAUAAGCGCCGGUAAGGUGAUAUGAACCGUUAUAACCGGCGAUACCCGAAUGGGGAAACCCAGUGUGACUCGUCACACUAUCAUUAACUGAAUCCAUAGGUUAAUGAGGCGAACCGGGGAACUGAAACAUCUAAGUACCCCGAGGAAAAGAAAUCAACCGAGAUUCCCCCAGUAGCGGCGAGCGAACGGGGAGGAGCCCAGAGCCUGAAUCAGCAUGUGUGUUAGUGGAAGCGUCUGGAAAGGCGCGCGAUACAGGGUGACAGCCCCGUACACAAAAGCGCAUGUGCUGUGAGCUCGAUGAGUAGGGCGGGACACGUGGUAUCCUGUCUGAAUAUGGGGGGACCAUCCUCCAAGGCUAAAUACUCCUGACUGACCGAUAGUGAACCAGUACCGUGAGGGAAAGGCGAAAAGAACCCCGGCGAGGGGAGUGAAAAAGAACCUGAAACCGUGUACGUACAAGCAGUGGGAGCACAGGUUUACCUGUGUGACUGCGUACCUUUUGUAUAAUGGGUCAGCGACUUAUAUUCUGUAGCAAGGUUAACCGAAUAGGGGAGCCGGAGGGAAACCGAGUCUUAAUUGGGCGUUAAGUUGCAGGGUAUAGACCCGAAACCCGGUGAUCUAGCCAUGGGCAGGUUGAAGGUUGGGUAACACUAACUGGAGGACCGAACCGACUAAUGUUGAAAAAUUAGCGGAUGACCUGUGGCUGGGGGUGAAAGGCCAAUCAAACCGGGAGAUAGCUGGUUCUCCCCGAAAGCUAUUUAGGUAGCGCCUCGUGAAUUCAUCUCCGGGGUAGAGCACUGUUUCGGCUAGGGGGCCAUCCCGGCUUACCAACCCGAUGCAAACUGCGAAUACCGGAGAAUGUUAUCACGGGAGACACACGGCGGGUGCUAACGUCCGUCGUGAAGAGGGAAACAACCCAGACCGCCAGCUAAGGUCCCAAAGUCAUGGUUAAGUGGGAAACGAUGUGGGAAGGCCCAGACAGCCAGGAUGUUGGCUUAGAAGCAGCCAUCAUUUAAAGAAAGCGUAAUAGCUCACUGGUCGAGUCGGCCUGCGCGGAAGAUGUAACGGGGCUAAACCAUGCACCGAAGCUGCGGCAGCGACGCUUAUGCGUUGUUGGGUAGGGGAGCGUUCUGUAAGCCUGCGAAGGUGGCCUGUGAGGGUUGCUGGAGGUAUCAGAAGUGCGAAUGCUGACAUAAGUAACGAUAAAGCGGGUGAAAAGCCCGCUCGCCGGAAGACCAAGGGUUCCUGUCCAACGUUAAUCGGGGCAGGGUGAGUCGACCCCUAAGGCGAGGCCGAAAGGCGUAGUCGAUGGGAAACGGGUUAAUAUUCCCGUACUUGGUGUUACUGCGAAGGGGGGACGGAGAAGGCUAUGUUGGCCGGGCGACGGUUGUCCCGGUUUAAGCGUGUAGGUGUGUGUUCCAGGUAAAUCCGGUUCACUUUAACACUGAGGCGUGAUGACGAGGCACUACGGUGCUGAAGUAACAAAUGCCCUGCUUCCAGGAAAAGCCUCUAAGCAUCAGGUAACAUCAAAUCGUACCCCAAACCGACACAGGUGGUCAGGUAGAGAAUACCAAGGCGCUUGAGAGAACUCGGGUGAAGGAACUAGGCAAAAUGGUGCCGUAACUUCGGGAGAAGGCACGCUGACACGUAGGUGAAGUGAUUUACUCACGGAGCUGAAGUCAGUCGAAGAUACCAGCUGGCUGCAACUGUUUAUUAAAAACACAGCACUGUGCAAACACGAAAGUGGACGUAUACGGUGUGACGCCUGCCCGGUGCCGGAAGGUUAAUUGAUGGGGUCAGCGCAAGCGAAGCUCCUGAUCGAAGCCCCGGUAAACGGCGGCCGUAACUAUAACGGUCCUAAGGUAGCGAAAUUCCUUGUCGGGUAAGUUCCGACCUGCACGAAUGGCGUAAUGAUGGCCAGGCUGUCUCCACCCGAGACUCAGUGAAAUUGAACUCGCUGUGAAGAUGCAGUGUACCCGCGGCAAGACGGAAAGACCCCGUGAACCUUUACUAUAGCUUGACACUGAACAUUGAGCCUUGAUGUGUAGGAUAGGUGGGAGGCUUUGAAGUGUGGACGCCAGUCUGCAUGGAGCCGACCUUGAAAUACCACCCUUUAAUGUUUGAUGUUCUAACGUGGACCCGUUACCCGGGUUGCGGACAGUGUCUGGUGGGUAGUUUGACUGGGGCGGUCUCCUCCUAAAGAGUAACGGAGGAGCACGAAGGUUGGCUAAUCCUGGUCGGACAUCAGGAGGUUAGUGCAAUGGCAUAAGCCAGCUUGACUGCGAGCGUGACGGCGCGAGCAGGUGCGAAAGCAGGUCAUAGUGAUCCGGUGGUUCUGAAUGGAAGGGCCAUCGCUCAACGGAUAAAAGGUACUCCGGGGAUAACAGGCUGAUACCGCCCAAGAGUUCAUAUCGACGGCGGUGUUUGGCACCUCGAUGUCGGCUCAUCACAUCCUGGGGCUGAAGUAGGUCCCAAGGGUAUGGCUGUUCGCCAUUUAAAGUGGUACGCGAGCUGGGUUUAGAACGUCGUGAGACAGUUCGGUCCCUAUCUGCCGUGGGCGCUGGAGAACUGAGGGGGGCUGCUCCUAGUACGAGAGGACCGGAGUGGACGCAUCACUGGUGUUCGGGUUGUCAUGCCAAUGGCACUGCCCGGUAGCUAAAUGCGGAAGAGAUAAGUGCUGAAAGCAUCUAAGCACGAAACUUGCCCCGAGAUGAGUUCUCCCUGAGACUUAAAGUCUCCUGAAGGAACGUUGAAGACGACGACGUUGAUAGGCCGGGUGUGUAAGCGCAGCGAUGCGUUGAGCUAACCGGUACUAAUGAACCGUGAGGCUUAACCCU
This 2906-nucleotide ribosomal RNA is filed under the name Salmonella enterica subsp. enterica serovar Dublin. RNAcentral's name for it is "23S ribosomal RNA". It matches the Rfam family "Bacterial large subunit ribosomal RNA". The record is from RNAcentral. Lineage: Bacteria; Pseudomonadati; Pseudomonadota; Gammaproteobacteria; Enterobacterales; Enterobacteriaceae.